Meleagris gallopavo (turkey) is the source of this 1903-nucleotide non-coding RNA. The record is from RefSeq and is a predicted model, not a curated record. NCBI's taxonomy places the organism in Eukaryota, Metazoa, Chordata, Aves, Galliformes, Phasianidae.
AAGUAUUGCAUAUUUAAUACUUUGCCCUUUGUAAUAUAGCACUUUUAUUUAACUAGGAUGAUCUAUGAAAUAGCCAAAGUUUUACAGUUGUUAACUUAGUUUGCUGAUGGAGCACAUCAACAAUACCAUCACUUCCCACCCUUACCCCACAAAAGAAAUCUUAAAUCUUGUGGCUAAAACCUAAUUUAUAUCAGAUUUAUGAAAUAAAGUAUUUUCCUAAUUAUGCUCAAGUGAGUUUGGUUACCAUUCUAGUGAUUCUUUCUAUGUAAUAAGGCAAUUAUAGUUCCAAGUAAUGAAGGCUGGUGUAGACUUGAACAUAAUAUAUUGGGUUUAUUUUUCAUCAGUUUGAACCAGAAGGGGAAAAAUGUCCCACUGUCAGCUAGACUAUAUGCAAAAGCGGUUGUAUAAAGUUAAGGGUUAUAAGGAAACCUCAGUAGAAUUACACUAAUACUGAAGUUAAGAUUAAAAGGAUAUCCAAGGUGAUGAUAAAGUGUGUGUUGGUAGUUACUAAAAGAACCUUAGCUGUUAUUGCCUUGUAUUUCUAUCCCUUGUUUCAAGCUUCAUGAUCCAAGUCUUAGUCCAGUUUUUCUUUUGGACAUUUGCAAUAUUUGCCAGUUGUGUUCUGUGUAGUCUGAAUUUGCUUUCUGUAGUUGAACAAGCGUCUUAAAAAGUCAUUUGUAAUUUAUUGAAUUACUUUCUAUGAUGUUCUAUAGAGCAAAUGGAAGUUUAAUUAUUUUUUAUUAAACAUAUUCUUUGACUACCCAUGAUGUCAGCCUCAAUAUGUAAAAAGUAAUGCUGUGUAAGGAUUAGAUAUGCAUCUUUGAGCAGCCAAAGUUAAGCUUCACUGUUAAGGUCUAGAACUGAAAUUACUCUCAAGACCUUAGAAAAAUCAAGCCUAGGAUGUCUACUUUUCUGCAAAACCAAAUGUCUUACUUCGAGUAUCUUUUCUGGGAAUCAGUUUUAAUCAAUUUCCUGUAAUUCUGUUGUCUUAGAAGCAAAAGGAGCUGAUGCUGCAGCUCUUGGGUAGUUGUGGCGAGGGAGUAGUAUACAGUCAAGGCUCUGGUAGAAUGUUGACUUGAUAUGAAAUAAUGAUGCAUUUAAUGUUCCAGGAUAAGCAUUCUGGAAGUGGGCUGCCUUUUUGUGUUUUUAUUUUCAAAACUCUGCUUUACUUUUUUACGUGUUUAUUGAAUCUCUUAAGUUUGGGCACAGCACUUACUGUUUGUCAUUUAUUUCAUACAGGGUGCGGAUGCUUCUCCCGAAUGCAGAUUAUCUCCUGGUUGUCAGGUGCUUUCUUGUUUUCAGUACAUCAUUGCGCUUCAGUUGUGCUCUCUCAGUAGACACCACAAGAAGGAAAGUAAGUUCAGAAUUCUCAUUGCUGUUCAGAUUGAAGCUGAAAACUUCACAUUAUCACUGGUCUUCAUCCACUGAGGCUGACAGUGAAAUAGCAAGUGUUGGAAUAUUCCUGGUAAAGUUUUGCACGUUGGCAAAAAGACAUCAGAAGUAUCAGGAGACUGCACUGGGAAGAUCCCAGGGAGAAUACUGGAAGGAAGGUUUCUUUGAUGCAUAUCAUUUUUUCCUACACAAAAAUUUCUGAGAUUGUAUAAUCUUAGAUCUCUCUUACUAGGCGGCAGGCUUUGGUAUCUAGCCUUAUCUGGGAGUCCACCUUAUUUCUCAGGAGGUAAACAACAUUAGCCACUCCUAGCGAAAGUGACUGAAACUUCUUAUUUGGGAGCAGCAUACUUAAGGCCUGUGCUGUUACUACAGCUGUUUUGCCUCAAUAUUUUGCUACGCUUUUCUUACUUUUUGAUACAAAACUGUAGCUUCUUAUCCAAUUUACCAGGAUAGAAAUAAAAUGGAAUCCUGUCGUGAAAAUGAUUCAAGCAAUUAACAACAACAACAAAAA